This is a long non-coding RNA of Thunnus maccoyii (southern bluefin tuna), 452 nucleotides long. RefSeq lists it as uncharacterized. The transcript is spliced from 3 exons. The record is from RefSeq and is a predicted model, not a curated record. NCBI's taxonomy places the organism in Eukaryota, Metazoa, Chordata, Actinopteri, Scombriformes, Scombridae.
AGAGCAACUCUAAGUGUUUACAGCCAAUAGAUCGGAGAAAAGAAGUUCAGCUGUGGUUGAAGAAAAGGACAAAAGAUGUCAAUAAAUAUUUCUGAGAGACAAUGGAAAAUGGCCUUGACCUCCAUAGUGGAGGAGCUGGAUGAGUCAGGAUACAAGAAGAUGUUGGGUUGUUGCUGUUUGGACAAAAUCCCUAAAAGUGUAAAGACUGGCACAUCCAAAGAGGAGAUGCCUCAAUUAAUCAUCCAGCACUUAGGAGUAGAUGAGUCCAUCUCUGCAAUCAAUGAAGCAAUGGAUCUGAUACCAAGGAAGGACUCUGCAGUCCAGGACAAGCUGCGCCCCUUUGUGGACAAACUGAGGAACAAACGUGAAGAAGAGAACAGAAAGUCCAUGAAGGAAAUGAAGGAGGAAACAACCAAAAACCAGAGGGUGACGAUGACAACGUUGGCUGAAAC